UAAUAGUCUAAAGUCAAAAUGAGAAUUUCAAUUUCUCUCCCUCAAGGGCUGGCCACAAAUACCUGGUUGGCACAAAUUGCGCACAAACUCUAACCAAUUGUUUGCUUGGUGGCUUACAAUAUGACAAUAUCAAGAAUAAAGCAUCAAGUAUAUUCAAUGAAAACCUUAAUAUGAAAAGCAUCCCAACUUUUCAUUGACAUAAAACUUGUACACCUCUAUAAUGGAAAUAAAGUGACAGCUCUGCAGAUAAACUACCAAUUCAAUGAAUACUAAAGCUAAAACUGUUUGUAGCAGCUGGAACUGCCCCACAAAUAAUGUUUGCUCAAAACAGUACAACGAACCCCUUGAUCUUCAAGAUCAAAUGCAAAGUUGACCUUGAAAACUUGCUAAGCAGAUAGCACCGAGUUAAUGUAAAAUUUGAUUAUAAACCUUUGGGGCUUCAAUUCAAUUACCCUACUGUCAAUCCAAACCCAAAUUUGUAGUCUUUCUUCUUGUGAUCUAACUCAGCAGAAAGAAUAAAAUUGAGACCCAUAUUUAAGCGUUCUUCUAAGAAAGCCGCUGCACAGCCAUUGGAAUCAAUCUUUCCUCUUAGACGUGCUUGUCUAAGGAUGUAAUCAUAACCAACACUUGCUGUCACAUCUCUUGACAUGUAGUUGUACAUGAAGUCUGUUGCUAGUGAAACCUUGAUAGAACAGAGUAGUGCAAGAAUUAUGGAUAAUAACAAAUUAAAAAGCUUCCUCAAGAAACUCCAAUACCUUCUCAGAAACCUUCUGAACAUAGCUCAAAGCAACCAUUCCAGUGCUAGCAACUUGCCCUGUUGCAACCUGUAGGUAAUAUCAUAACAUGGUAAUUUGGCUCCGUCAAAGCAAGUAAUACAAUAGUGUAAAGUAAAAACCAAAACAACUCCUUUUGACUGGUGUAACCGGCCAUUAUUCUAAUAUCAAAUUGUGUUUUGUGUCUAUCUGCACAUGCAUCUGUUGAGGGCCAGCAACCACAAAACGAAAAGUUGGAGAAUCCAUGUUAUAGGACCCAUUUACAUAGUAUGCAAACUUUAGGUUCCACUUAAAAAGAUGACCUAAGCAGAUAUCAAUUGAUUUUGCUCUCUACUGAGUCACAGUUCACAACCACAGUGAUCUACUCCUGUAUGUAGACACAUGACAUAAACAUUACCUACAAAUCUUCCACAGAAGGGAAACACUGGUAGAACCUGUGACAAUUCAUGUAUUUUAAUAUAAGACUAAUUCAAUAUUUACUUUCCUUCUGUCACCCAUCACAUCUAAAGCAUUACCAAUUAAAUGAAUUUACUGAUUCAUCACUUUUGAUUCUGGAAUUGGAAAACAGAUACAAGUUUAAUGUCUCUUCAAGUGUAUGCAACCAUUCAAUGUCUUCCUUCAGCAUUCUAAAGAAGAAAUCUCAGUGUCCAUUUUAGCCUGAUCAACAUUGUGAGAAACAAGGGCUAAGAUGUCUUAUAUGAUUAUUGGCCAGUAUAACAUCAUAUUUCACAGUUGAUGCUGCCGGAGUCCAGACAUGUGAUGAAGGAUGAAAGUAAGGCAGAAAUACCAUCUUAUCUGUCUCAUAUCGACCAGCAUAUCCAAGACCAGACUUUCUAUGUUGACCAGCCCAAAAUACUUCACCACCCAAAGACAAAUGUGGGGUCACACUCUGCACCAAUACAAAGAUCCAAUAAAAAGAAAAAAAUAACAUAAAAGAAUCAUACUCUAGGACGUUUGGACAAGUUAAUUUUCACUUGCCCAUAUUUUAGAUUGCUCCUAUUUCCUACCAUUGAAAUUAGAAUACAAAAUUGCGCAUGAUUUACCAGUUUGAUGUAAAGCAAGAUGCAAAUAUCAUAUUCCAUUCUUCAAGACUAUCUUUACAUCAUUAAAAUCCACAAUCAUAGCUAUUCCAUUACUUGAUUCAGAUCAUUUACCUGAAUGUAACUGGCUCCAAAUAAGGCUCCGUUUCCUAGUUGAAGCUGGGUCCUGUAGUCUUUACCCUUAUAAUCAAAGUUGAACAUGGCAUGUGACAUAUGGGGCUCAUUUGUAAGCUGGAUGGAGAAAAACAUAACAAAAGUUAAAAUUGCUCAAAGAUUACCUCCCUACCUCCCAAAUGAAAAAGGGAAGAGGGUCUACAUGAGAAAAAUGAGUCCAAGAGCAAAUGAAAUGAACACAUAUUCCACCUGAGCAUUGGCCUUCAGUGUAAGAUCGUCGGUCAAAUCACACUUCACUCUAGCAUUUAGUCUCCCAUCCGUCAACACCCUCCCAAAAAGCAUUAACUUAGGGUCUAUAAAGUUAGCACCAAACUCAUAAUGGGCAGUCGGGAUUUUGAUGGUUUCUGCAGAUUGAGAAGGAAGUUCCAUAGGUCCCAUAAAAACGCUGUGACUAAGAGAGAAUUUCUGAUUGAGUCCCUUGGUAAAAUCAAAGCGCAUCCCCUCAAAAAGCUCUGGCUUUAAAGACACUGCCAAAAAAUUAUCAAACAAUCAACAAUUUCAAAAGGGCAAACUUUUCAGCUCUAAACUUCUGUUACGCAUCCAGUAAAACCAUGUGAUUUUCUCUUAGAGCUUUUAUUAGCAUUUUCCAGAUCCAAAAGAAAUGAUAUUAUCACCAAUUUUGCAACUUUCAUUAUAUAUAAGUAGGCAUUUCAUAUAACAUAUCAGCAACACUACAGAGAUCUACUUGAGUACAACACAUCCAAAUAAAGGUACAUAAUAUUCCAAAUUAGAGAGAACUUUUUUUUUUUACUAGUGGCAAUGCUUAAGUCAACUAAGCCUCAGUCACUUUUGCAAACAAGAACUUAGAAGAUCCUCGCGCCAAUUAAAAUUAAUUCAAUAAAGCUUUAGCAAGCCAUAAAAUUACACAUGCCCAAAACUCUUCCUUCAUUAUUAACUUCAGACAAUGCUGCUUUGUGCACAAACUUCCAGCAAGUAAGAACCCAUUUUAUAUUUGCAUUAAGAAAUACGGAAAAACAGUAAAGGAACUCCAUUUUUUUUGGGGAAAAACCCACAAACAUGCGAAAUUUACUAACUAAUGCAAACCAGGGCUUCACGCUUAGGUUAACUGCUAGAAUUAAAUCUCCGUUGUGUCGGUCAACAGUAAGAAAAGUCAAAUACACACAGCAAAUAUACAGAUCCAGAAUCAAUAUGGGAAAAACGGAAAAAGAAAAACUAUAGCAAGAAUCCAGGAACAAAUUGUUGAUUUAUCCGAAACACACAUUAAUUAGCAAUCCCAAGCGAUCAAGAAUUUCCUUUUUUCAAAAAAAGGAAAAGAUCAUAAAAGGAAAUUGAAACAAAGAGGGAAACAGAGAUAAAGAACUGAACUAAGAGCUUCACGAUGGAGUUCUUCAUAGGGAAUAGGGCAAGGAAGGUUCAUAAAAUCGACUUUCUUCCCAACAUCAUUGAUCUUCUUGGCUGAUGCUGCAGCAGAUGCCUCGCCUAGCAUCGCCGUACCUGGAGGUACCAUCCCCGCCAUUGCAGUUUGUGAGCUUCAAUUGGACAAAUAAGAGGAACAGAGAGGAGUGAGAUAUGAAGACGGGAGACCAAGAGAGACGGGAGAGUGG
RNAcentral lists this unclassified non-coding RNA (3552 nucleotides) under Hevea brasiliensis (rubber tree). The record is from RNAcentral. Lineage: Eukaryota; Viridiplantae; Streptophyta; Magnoliopsida; Malpighiales; Euphorbiaceae.